ACUGGUGAGUAACGCGUGGGUGACGUACCCUUUGGACGGGGAUAGCUGCUAGAAAUAGCAGAUAAUACCGGAUAAGGUGGCCUGUGUCAGAGGCAGGUCAGGAAAGGAACAUUUGUUCCGCCGAAGGAACGGCUCGCGAGCUAUUAGCUAGUUGGUGAGGUAACGGCCCACCAAGGCGAUGAUAGCUACCCGGCCUAAGAGGGUGAACGGGCACAUUGGGACUGAGAUACGGCCCAGACUCCUACGGGAGGCAGCAGCUAAGAAUAUUCCGCAAUGGACGAAAGUCUGACGGAGCGACGCCGCGUGGAUGAUGAAGGUCGGAAGAUUGUAAAAUCCUUUUAUGACUGAAGAAUAAGUAUGGUGAGAGAAACUCCGUAUGGUGACAGUAGGUCAUGAAUAAGCAACGGCUAAUUACGUGCCAGCAGCCGCGGUAACACGUAAGUUGCGAGCGUUGUUCGGAAUUAUUGGGCGUAAAGGGCAUGCAGGCGGAAUUGCAAGCUUGGUGUGAAAUACCGGGGCUUAACUCCGGAAUAGCAUUGAGAACUGCAAAACUAGAGUCACUGAGGGGCAAUCAGAAUUCCAGGUGUAGGGGUGAAAUCUGUAGAUAUCUGGAAGAAUACCAAUGGCGAAGGCAGGUUACCAGCAGAUGACUGACGCUGAGGUGCGAAGGUGCGGGGAGCAAACAGGAUUAGAGACCCUGGUAGUCCGCACAGUCAAC
This 718-nucleotide ribosomal RNA is filed under the name uncultured bacterium. RNAcentral's name for it is "bacterial SSU rRNA". It matches the Rfam family "Bacterial small subunit ribosomal RNA", at positions 102 to 807 of the family's 1533-position model. The record is from RNAcentral.